RNAcentral lists this transfer RNA (81 nucleotides) under Candidatus Omnitrophota bacterium. RNAcentral's name for it is "tRNA-Leu". It matches the Rfam family "tRNA". From Rfam's summary of the family: Transfer RNA (tRNA) molecules are approximately 80 nucleotides in length. Their secondary structure includes four short double-helical elements and three loops (D, anti-codon, and T loops). Lineage: Bacteria; Pseudomonadati; Candidatus Omnitrophota. The record is from RNAcentral.
GCGGACGUGGCGGAAUUGGCAUACGCGUACGGCUUAGAACCGUAUCCCUUUGGGUUGAGAGUUCGACUCUCUCCGUCCGCA